UCUGGUUGAUCCCGGCGGAGGCCACUGCUAUCGGAGUUCGAUUAAGCCAUGCGAGUCGAGAGGUGCAAGACCUCGGCAUACUGCUCAGUAACACGUGGACAAUCUGACCUAUGGAAGGGGAUAAUCCCGGGAAACUGGGGAUAAUACCCUAUAGACUAUGGAUGCUGGAAUGCACUGUAGUCGAAAGGUCCGCCGCCAUAGGAUGGGUCUGCGGCCGAUUAGGUAGUUGUUGGGGUAACGGCCCAACAAGCCUGUAAUCGGUACGGGUUGUGGGAGCAAGAGCCCGGAGAUGGAUUCUGAGACACGAAUCCAGGCCCUACGGGGUGCAGCAGGCGCGAAAACUUUACAAUGCUGGCAACAGCGAUAAGGGGACCUCGAGUGCCAGGUUACAAAUCUGGCUGUCGAGAUGCCUAAAAAGCAUUUCAUAGCAAGGGCCGGGCAAGACCGGUGCCAGCCGCCGCGGUAACACCGGCGGCUCGAGUGGUAACCGUUAUUAUUGG
This 500-nucleotide ribosomal RNA is filed under the name uncultured methanogenic archaeon. RNAcentral's name for it is "bacterial SSU rRNA". It matches the Rfam family "Archaeal small subunit ribosomal RNA", at positions 1 to 507 of the family's 1478-position model. Lineage: Archaea; Methanobacteriati; Methanobacteriota. The record is from RNAcentral.